CUCGUGCGGAACUUUCUCCUGUUAUUUGCCGUUUUUCUUAACAAAUUGCCAUGGUAUCAGCAGUUCUUUGGAGUCUUUGCUAUUGACUAUGUUUUCAAAAUCUCUUCGUCUUUCGAUCUCCAGUGUCUCUCUUAUGGGUCCUUGUUUCAUGUUGGUUGUGCGUUUUAGUAGCUUGGCCCGGUCCCACUGUACUUCUGUGUUCUCUGCAAAAAAUUCUUUGGCUAAUGCCAUUGUUGUCUUUGCUUUUCUUAGGUCAUUUUUAUGCUUGUCUAACCUUUCAUCAUUGUACGGCUCGUGAAACCUAUAUAUUUACUUGCGAUUUUACUGUUCUUUGUUAAUGAG
Molecule: long non-coding RNA, 342 nt
Filed under: Androctonus crassicauda
Lineage: Eukaryota; Metazoa; Arthropoda; Arachnida; Scorpiones; Buthidae
Source: RNAcentral